UACGUAGGUGGCAAGCGUUAUUCGGAAUUAUUGGGCGUAAAGGGCGCGUAGGCGGCUUGGCAAGUGGAAGGUGAAAUCCCUCGGCUUAACCGAGGAACUGCCCUCCAAACUGCUUCGCUUGAGACCGGGAGAGGUGAGUGGAAUUCCCAGUGUAGCGGUGAAAUGCGUAGAUAUUGGGAGGAACACCAGUGGCGAAGGCGGCUCACUGGACCGGUACUGACGCUGAUGCGCGAAAGCGUGGGGAGCAAACGGG
This 253-nucleotide ribosomal RNA is filed under the name uncultured bacterium. RNAcentral's name for it is "partial 16S ribosomal RNA". It matches the Rfam family "Bacterial small subunit ribosomal RNA", at positions 524 to 776 of the family's 1533-position model. The record is from RNAcentral.